This is a non-coding RNA of Benincasa hispida (wax gourd), 1456 nucleotides long. The record is from RefSeq and is a predicted model, not a curated record. Lineage: Eukaryota; Viridiplantae; Streptophyta; Magnoliopsida; Cucurbitales; Cucurbitaceae.
ACUCCUUUUCUUCUUCUUCCUUGUGCCACCGAAGACCUAACCUCCCCCAUUGUUUUCGUUUCUCCAGCCCCGUCGAUGCAACUCGUUGACACACCGCCUCCAGCCACCAGUGUUUCUCCCGACAUCGGUCCGAGCCAUCUCUGCCACCGCCAACCCAACCUGCUCCCGCUGCAUCGUUGCAGAGCUCAGCCCUGCCCUCCGGAUCCGCGCAUCCGCCGCCCCUCUGUCCGAAACCCAGCCUCGUUCACCGCUUCAGCCGCCGUUUCACAUUCUCUCCAGCUGCAGACUCACGCGACUAGAAACCCAGCUUCAUUCACCGAUCGUCCAGCUGACUAUCCGAGCCCAACCACCGAUCUCCACUGGUCACUACCUACCUUCACUGUCGUUCGUCGGAUUUCGGCGAAUGUUGAUCUAAGACUGGAGUACUUUAGAGUGCGCAACGUGUUGCCCAACAGAUUCGAGUUCGUUCGGCAAGUAGUUUGUAUUCUUAAAGGUUCCAAGUCGUCAUCCAUUGAGUUUUAAAAUCUGCUAAGAGGAGAUUUUGGAGUCGAAAUCUUGCGGGUGUUUGUUGAUCAAGUUUCGUUUGGGGGACUCAGUUCAAGACUUAUUUGGUUGGAGAUCAUUAGCUUGGAUUAAUAUCUAAAUUUGACUUCGAGGUAAGUAAUCUUACCAUUGGAAGUACCCACGGGCCAGGUUUUAUUUGUAUGCUCGCGUGAUAAGUGUAUGUUAUGGUAAAUAUUAGCAUGUUGACUGAUAGUAUGAUCUGAAUCAAGUAUGUUCUGGCACGGGUUUUUUUUGUUUAAAGAUACACCUAGGCACUUGAUUGUUAGUAUGUGAUGGUAUGUGUUUUCAUAUGUUGAUAUCUGAUCUGUUGGUGUUGAGGCAUACUUGCAUGCUGUGGGAUUAUGAUGUAAGGUAUACAUGAAUGUAGUAUGAUAUGUUGUCAAUAAUCAUGUGUAUGUGAUGGAGCCAUGGUAUCAAGGAUUUUCAUGUAUGUUCCAGAAUUGUACAAUGUUGAUUUUUAGAACGUUGAGACUGUGUGACUAUCCUCAUUAAUUAGUUAGACGCUCACCAGUUUGUGUUUCCUUCGGGAUUCACUAGUUUUGUGUUUCCUUCGGGAUUCACCAGUUUGUGUUUCCUUCGGGAUUCACCAGUUUUGUGUUUCCUUCGGGAUUCACCAGUGUGUGUUUCCUUCAGGAUUCACCAGUUUGUGUUUCCUUCGGGAUUCACUAGUUUUGUGUUCCCUUCGAGGUUCACCAGUUUUGUGGGCAUACUUAACUACAAUAGGAUAGGGCUCAGUCUCUCGUUUGUUCUAUUUGUUUAUGUACCGUAGGUGGGUAUCUAGAAGACAUAGAUGCCUAGCCUGACCCCAGUGGUGGGGUUACUUACUGAGUAUUUUAUACUCAUUCUUUUUCAUAUUGUUAUUUCAGGUAAAGGUAGAGAUGCACUGGCGAUG